AUUGAACGCUGGCGGCAGGCCUAACACAUGCAAGUCGAACGGCAGCGGGGGGUAGCUUGCUAUCCUGCCGGCGAGUGGCGGACGGGUGAGUAAUGCAUGGGGAGCUGCCCAGUCGAGGGGGAUAACAACUGGAAACGGUUGCUAAUACCGCAUACGCCCUAAGGGGGAAAGGUGGGGAACUUCGGUCCUACCGCGAUUGGAUGCGCCCAUGUGGGAUUAGCUAGUUGGUGAGGUAACGGCUCACCAAGGCGACGAUCUCUAGCUGGUCUGAGAGGAUGACCAGCCACACUGGAAAUGAGACACGGUCCAGACUCCUACGGGAGGCAGCAGUGGGGAAUAUUGCACAAUGGGGGAAACCCUGAUGCAGCCAUGCCGCGUGUGUGAAGAAGGCCUUCGGGUUGUAAAGCACUUUCAGUCAGGAGGAAGGGGUGAUGGCUAAUAUCCAUCAUCAUUGACGUUACUGACAGAAGAAGCACCGGCUAACUCCGUGCCAGCAGCCGCCGUAA
Molecule: ribosomal RNA, 506 nt
Filed under: uncultured bacterium
Lineage: Bacteria
Description: partial 16S ribosomal RNA
Rfam family: Bacterial small subunit ribosomal RNA
Source: RNAcentral